UAUUUUUUCUAUUUACAAAACUUAUAUAUUUUUGACCCUAUUUCAGUGACAAACGCCUUGCCUGCUGCAUCUAUGGGAAAUUUGCUGAAACUUUGAUAGAGGAAAAAAGACAACCAAACAAUGGAGAUAUUUGUUUAAUCAGAUAUGCUAAGUUGCCAGAAGACAAUGACGAGUUUCAAAUCAUAAAUGCAUUUGAUACUUCCUUGGUGAUGAUAAACCCAGCUAUCGACGAAGCUGACGGACUUAAGCAGAUGUGAGUUCACAUUAUUCUAAACUAAAUAUGUUAUAUAAUGAAUUACAAAAUCAGAUUUAUUCUUUUUUUUGAGUUAAGCUUUCGUGGAGGUGAUAACUCUAUGGAUAUGUACCAAAAUAUUGGAAAGAUUGUGAACCAACCAAAUCGCCAGAAAUGGUCAACCUUUCCUUUCAAAACCAUUCAAGAGAUGAAACACACAGAUAAGGUUAUCACCUUCAUUUUGCUCAAAAUAUAUAUUUUGAAAUAAUUUACUCACAAAUGUAUACUGUUUUUGUUGCUUUGUAGUAUGAAAAAUGCAGAGUAAUCUGCACAGUUUAUGCUAUUGACACAAUGAGUGGUUGGUAUUAUUGUGCUUGUGUGGUCUGCAAAAAGAAAGUUUUGAAAACAAGGAUUGUCUUUGACGAGCACGAUUCUCCAACUUGGUUUUGUGACUAUUGCCACAUGACUGUUUCGAAAGUUAUUCCCAGGUCAUUUAUUAUAAAUCAAAACAUUUAAUUAAUAUGUUUAUUUUAAGAAAAUAACUAACCCUUUUUAAAUUGUUACAAAACGGUAUCUUUUUCAGGUACAAACUAGAUUUGCUUGUGCAAGAUCAAACAGGCGAAUCUAAAUUCACACUUCUAGACCCAGUUGCUACAUCUAUCGUGAAAACUUCUGCAGCAAAAAUCGCUAAUGUUUUGUUGGAUGUAAGUUUUAUUCCUUAUUUUAAAUAACUUGUGUAUUACUAUUUGAUUUUUAAGUUAGUAUAUAAUAUUUAUGUUUUUUUUUAUUAACAGAAUGGAGAUCAAGAUAUGUUACCAGCUGAACUUGUGGAGGUCGUUGGCAAAACUUUUGGAUUUGGUAUCUCCAUUGAUGAUACAGAAAAAUUCAAUGCCAUCAAGGUUUGGAGUCUGGAUGAUAUUAUGUGGAAGAGAAUCAAAUCACUGCACCAGUUGUCAACUAAGCGCAAAGAAAAACAAAUUAACUGUGAUGAAGCCCAAGAGAACCAUAGUGGCUGAUUGGAAAAAAGAAUUUCAUGAAUUUCGUUUUUUUUUGUUUUAUUGGUUUAAUGCUUUCCUUUGUUGCUUUUUAAUGUUUUUUUAUUAUUUCAUUAUUUCUUGGUGUUAACUGGUUUUCCGUUAUGAAUAAAAAUUAGAUUGCGUUUUAAA
Raphanus sativus (radish) is the source of this 1398-nucleotide long non-coding RNA. RefSeq lists it as uncharacterized. The transcript is spliced from 2 exons. NCBI's taxonomy places the organism in Eukaryota, Viridiplantae, Streptophyta, Magnoliopsida, Brassicales, Brassicaceae. The record is from RefSeq and is a predicted model, not a curated record.